RNAcentral lists this unclassified non-coding RNA (712 nucleotides) under Hevea brasiliensis (rubber tree). Lineage: Eukaryota; Viridiplantae; Streptophyta; Magnoliopsida; Malpighiales; Euphorbiaceae. The record is from RNAcentral.
AUGUUCCCUUCUCCACCUUCAACAGGUUCUUUUUUUUUUUUUUAAGCAAAAAUUUUUAUUAAUUCUUUAGAAAUCCGGGAAGAAAUUGUCACGGCGAGAGUUCCCGCUAUCAGGACGUAUAACCUGGUAGUAAGGUAUAAGAUGCCGCCCUUCAGAAGGUUCAUUGAUGAGGCGAAGAAAUUCAGCCCGAUUCUCUUGAAUAAGUCUCCAUAGAGGAGGAUUUUCUUUCUCCCACUCUUGAAGCAUAGGCUGCAAUAGAUGUGGAUUAGCCUGGACCAUAUCUCUAAAUGCUUGGAACUCUGGACUGUUCCGUAAAACAUCAAAAGGUCCAGCACCUGCAGCACUUGAACUUGUUUCGGAAACGCCCAUUGGAAAAGGAUCUUUUUUGUUGUCAAUUUUCUCAUCUCGUAAAUUCGGCAGAGGUAUAUCUCCUUCAAGAGUUUGAAGUACCUUUUUCAUUGGUGGACAAAUUCUGAAUAAUUAUAUACACAAGCUCCAGCACAAUAAAUCAUUCGUUUCAUUUCACGUUCAUUAUAGUUAUGCAAAUUGGAAUCAACAAAACCCUCAUUUUCAUCCUUCAAAGCUUGAAGAAUUCGAGUUCUUGCCCAUGCGAUGAUGUCAAUGUCUUCAUGUAUGGGUUUUCUUCCGGUAAUCAGCUCUAAAAGGACAACACCAAAAGAGUAAACAUCUGACUUAUCGGAGACCUUUUUAG